GGCUUCGUAGCUCAGCUGGCAGGGCGUGCGCGUACAGAGCGUAAGCGGCGUCCAUGAAUGGGUUCGAAUCCAACCGAGGCCA
Molecule: transfer RNA, 82 nt
Filed under: Echinostoma caproni
Lineage: Eukaryota; Metazoa; Platyhelminthes; Trematoda; Plagiorchiida; Echinostomatidae
Rfam family: tRNA
About the family: Transfer RNA (tRNA) molecules are approximately 80 nucleotides in length. Their secondary structure includes four short double-helical elements and three loops (D, anti-codon, and T loops). Further hydrogen bonds mediate the characteristic L-shaped molecular structure. tRNAs have two regions of fundamental functional importance: the anti-codon, which is responsible for specific mRNA codon recognition, and the 3' end, to which the tRNAs corresponding amino acid is attached (by aminoacyl-tRNA synthetases). tRNAs cope with the degeneracy of the genetic code in two manners: having more than one tRNA (with a specific anti-codon) for a particular amino acid; and 'wobble' base-pairing, i.e. permitting non-standard base-pairing at the 3rd anti-codon position.
Source: Rfam by way of RNAcentral